ACGCGAAACCCGCCUUCGGGCGGGGAGUAGAGUGGCGCACGGGUGAGUAACACGUGAGUAAUUUACCUUUGGGUGGGGAAUAGCUCGGGGAAACCCGGAUUAAUACCGCAUAAUGCAGCGGCACCUUCGUGGUGACAGUUGUUAAAGCGGGGGAGCGACUUUGGUCGUCCUCGCGCCUGAAGAGAAGCUCGCGGCGGAUUAGCUAGUUGGUGGGGUAAUGGCUCACCAAGGCUUCGAUCCGUAGCCGGCCUGAGAGGGCGGUCGGCCACACUGACACUGAAGAUACGGGUCAGACUCCUACGGGAGGCAGCAGUCGGGAAUUUUGGGCAAUGGGCGCAAGCCUGACCCAGCAACGCCGCGUGAAGGAUGAAGUUUUUCGGAAUGUAAACUUCACAAGACGGGGAAGAAUAAGGGUGAGCUAAGAUCUCGCCUGAUGACGGUACCCGUAGUAAGCUCCGGCUAACUCCGUGCCAGCAGCCGCGGUAAUACGGGGGGAGCAAGCGUUG
This 506-nucleotide ribosomal RNA is filed under the name uncultured bacterium. RNAcentral describes it as "bacterial SSU rRNA". It matches the Rfam family "Bacterial small subunit ribosomal RNA", at positions 66 to 543 of the family's 1533-position model. The record is from RNAcentral.